Molecule: ribosomal RNA, 522 nt
Filed under: uncultured bacterium
Lineage: Bacteria
Description: partial 16S ribosomal RNA
Rfam family: Bacterial small subunit ribosomal RNA
Source: RNAcentral
UGGGGAAUAUUGCACAAUGGGCGAAAGCCUGAUGCAGCAACGCCGCGUGAGUGAUGAAGGUCUUCGGAUUGUAAAGCUCUGUCUUUUGGGACGAUAAUGACGGUACCAAAGGAGGAAGCCACGGCUAACUACGUGCCAGCAGCCGCGGUAAUACGUAGGUGGCGAGCGUUGUCCGGAUUUACUGGGCGUAAAGGGUGCGUAGGCGGAUGUUUAAGUGAGAUGUGAAAUACCCGGGCUUAACUUGGGUGCUGCAUUUCAAACUGGAUAUCUAGAGUGCAGGAGAGGAGAAUGGAAUUCCUAGUGUAGCGGUGAAAUGCGUAGAGAUUAGGAAGAACACCAGUGGCGAAGGCGAUUCUCUGGACUGUAACUGACGCUGAGGCACGAAAGCGUGGGUAGCAAACAGGAUUAGAUACCCUGGUAGUCCACGCCGUAAACGAUGAGUACUAGGUGUAGGAGGUAUCGACCCCUUCUGUGCCGCAGUAAACACAUUAAGUACUCCGCCUGGGAAGUACGAUCGCAAGA